RNAcentral lists this non-coding RNA (160 nucleotides) under Bacillus sp. (in: firmicutes). RNAcentral's name for it is "Bacillus sp. FMN sequence". It matches the Rfam family "FMN riboswitch aptamer (RFN element)". Rfam says of the family: The RFN element is a highly conserved domain that is found frequently in the 5'-untranslated regions of prokaryotic mRNAs that encode for flavin mononucleotide (FMN) biosynthesis and transport proteins. Lineage: Bacteria; Bacillati; Bacillota; Bacilli; Caryophanales; Bacillaceae. The record is from RNAcentral.
UCAAUCCUUCAGGGCAGGGUGAAAUUCCCUACCGGCGGUGAUGUUGCUGCAAGUUAAUCUUGCAGUGCUUAGUCCGCUACCCGGACCGUGCUACAGCGCGGACGGUGGACCCGGUGCAAUUCCGGGACCGACAGUAUAGUCUGGAUGGAAGAAGGAGAGA